RNAcentral lists this ribosomal RNA (281 nucleotides) under uncultured bacterium. RNAcentral describes it as "partial 16S ribosomal RNA". It matches the Rfam family "Bacterial small subunit ribosomal RNA", at positions 28 to 307 of the family's 1533-position model. The record is from RNAcentral.
GACGAACGCUGGCGGCGUGCUUAACACAUGCAAGUCGAGCGGUAAGGCCCUUUCGGGGGUACGACGAGCGGCGAACGGGUGAGUAACACGUGGGCGACCUCGCCCUCAGCUCUGGGAUAAGCCUGGGAAACCGGGUCUAAUACCGGAUAUGACUCCAUGACGCAUGUUGUGGGGUGGAAAGCCUUGUGCGGCUGAGGAUGGGCCCGCGGCCUAUCAGCUUGUUGGUGGGGUGAUGGCCUACCAAGGCGACGACGGGUAGCCGGCCUGAGAGGGCGGACCGG